GCUAAAUAGUCAGUCUGGCUUCGGCCGGUCGCCGGCUUCUUAGAGGGACUGUCAGCGUUUAGCUGACGGAAGUUUGAGGCAAUAACAGGUCUGUGAUGCCCUUAGAUGUUUUGGGCCGCACGCGCGCUACACUGACAGAGCCAGCGAGCACAUUUCCUUGGCCGAAAGGUCCCGGGUAAUCUUGUGAAACUCUGUCGUGCUGGGGAUAGAGCAUUGCAAUUAUUGCUCUUCAACGAGGAAUUCCUAGUAAGCGCGAAGUCAUCAGCCUCGCCGUUUGAUU
RNAcentral lists this ribosomal RNA (280 nucleotides) under uncultured fungus. RNAcentral describes it as "partial 18S ribosomal RNA". It matches the Rfam family "Eukaryotic small subunit ribosomal RNA", at positions 1350 to 1642 of the family's 1831-position model. Lineage: Eukaryota; Fungi. The record is from RNAcentral.